GAUUAACGCUGGCGGCGUGCCUAACACAUGCAAGUCGAGCGGCAGCGCGUUUUACACUGCCUUCUGGAAGCUUCUAGUUGCAAGAGAAGAUUUAUUCAAGAAUUUUUUUAAAAUUCUGGGGGGCGGCCGAAGGGCGAGUUACGCUGGGGAACCAUCCCCCAAGGGGGGGAAAACGGAUCGAAAGGGGUGCUUAUACCGCAAAUUGGCCUUGGGUUUAAUCCUUCGGGCGGCUUGGGAACGGCCCGCGUAAGAUUAGAUAGUUGGUAGGGUAAAGGCCUACCAAGUCGUCGAUCUUUAACUGGUUUGAGAGGAUGAUCAGUCAGACUGGAACUGAGACACGGUCCAGACUCCUACGGGAGGCAGCAGUGAGGAAUCUUCCACAAUGGGCGAAAGCCUGAUGGAGCAACGCCGCGUGCAGGAUGAAGGCCUUCGGGUUGUAAACUGCUUUUAUAAGUGAGGAUUAUGACAGUAACUUAUGAAUAAGGAUCGGCUAACUACGUG
Molecule: ribosomal RNA, 501 nt
Filed under: uncultured bacterium
Lineage: Bacteria
Description: partial 16S ribosomal RNA
Rfam family: Bacterial small subunit ribosomal RNA
Source: RNAcentral